RNAcentral lists this unclassified non-coding RNA (375 nucleotides) under soil metagenome. RNAcentral's name for it is "partial contains 5.8S ribosomal RNA, internal transcribed spacer 2, and large subunit ribosomal RNA". The stretch from base 1 to 120 matches the Rfam family "5.8S ribosomal RNA", at positions 35 to 154 of the family's 154-position model. The record is from RNAcentral.
GAUGAAGAACGUAGCGAAAUGCGAUAAGUAAUGUGAAUUGCAGAAUUCAGUGAACCAUCGAAUCUUUGAACGCACAUUGCGCCCGGCAGUAAUCUGCCGGGCAUGCCUGUCCGAGCGUCAUUUCUCCCCUCGAGCGCAGCUUUCCCCCCCGGGGGAGGGCCGCGCCCGGUGUUGGGGCGCUACGGAGGAGCCCAGCGCUCCCCCGUAGGCCCCGAAAUGUAGUGGCGGUCCCGCCGCGGCGCCCCCUGCGUAGUAGUUUUACAACUCGCAUCGGGUCCCGGCGGAGGCCAGCCGUCAAACCCCCCAACUUCAAUAGUUUGACCUCGGAUCAGGUAGGGUUACCCGCUGAAUUUAAGCAUAUCAAUAAGCGGAGGA